CCCUUAAAUACUGAAGUGUGGAAUUAGACCUGCAAACUCCAGGAAGCAAUUGUCUGUUUGGACAGGCUCUGUCUCUUUUCAUAGGGAAGUCUGCCUGGGUUCUGCUUGCAAACAGAGCUCAAUUCCACAGCGUGAAGGCAGCAGGGGAACUUGCUGUCAAGAGUGUUGCCGUGAAGCGUGGAGAAAUGAAGAGGCCCUGGUGAUGGAUAUCAGACCAGCUUGCCACAGAAUAAAGAUCAGCA
Long non-coding RNA from Pogoniulus pusillus (Red-fronted tinkerbird), 242 nucleotides. RefSeq lists it as uncharacterized. The record is from RefSeq and is a predicted model, not a curated record. Lineage: Eukaryota; Metazoa; Chordata; Aves; Piciformes; Lybiidae. The transcript has 2 exons.